This 416-nucleotide ribosomal RNA is filed under the name uncultured cyanobacterium. Its description in RNAcentral is "bacterial SSU rRNA". It matches the Rfam family "Bacterial small subunit ribosomal RNA", at positions 505 to 918 of the family's 1533-position model. The record is from RNAcentral. Lineage: Bacteria; Bacillati; Cyanobacteriota.
GUGUCAGCAGCCGCGGUAAGACGGAGGAUGCAAGCGUUAUCCGGAAUGAUUGGGCGUAAAGCGUCCGCAGGUGGCAAUUCAAGUCUGCUGUUAAAGCGCAGGGCUUAACUCUGUAAAGGCAGUGGACACUGAAUAGCUAGAGUGUGGUAGGGGCAGAGGGAAUUCCCAGUGUAGCGGUGAAAUGCGUAGAGAUUGGGAAGAACAUCGGUGGCGAAGGCGCUCUGCUGGACCAUAACUGACACUCACAGGACGAAAGCUAGGGGAGCGAAUGGGAUUAGAUACCCCAGUAGUCCUAGCCGUAAACGAUGGAUACUAGGGGUUGUCUGUAUCGACCCGGACAGUGCCGUAGCUAACGCGUUAAGUAUCCCGCCUGGGGAGUACGCACGCAAGUGUGAAACUCAAAUGAAUUGGCGGGG